GACGAACGCUGGCGGCGUGCUUAACACAUGCAAGUCGAACGAAGAGCGACGGAAGCUUGCUUCUAUCAAUCUUAGUGGCGAACGGGUGAGUAACGCGUAAUCAACCUGCCCUUCAGAGGGGGACAACAGUUGGAAACGACUGCUAAUACCGCAUACGAUCUAAUCUCGGCAUCGAGGAUGGAUGAAAGGUGGCCUCUACAUGUAAGCUAUCACUGAAGGAGGGGAUUGCGUCUGAUUAGCUAGUUGGAGGGGUAACGGCCCACCAAGGCGAUGAUCAGUAGCCGGUCUGAGAGGAUGAACGGCCACGUUGGGACUGAGACACGGCCCAGACUCCUACGGGAGGCAGCAGUGGGGAAUCUUCCGCAAUGGACGAAAGUCUGACGGAGCAACGCCGCGUGAGUGAUGACGGCCUUCGGGUUGUAAAGCUCUGUUAAUCGGGACGAAAGGCCUUCUUGCGAAUAGUGAGAAGGAUUGACGGUACCGGAAUAGAAAGCCACGGCUAACUACGUG
RNAcentral lists this ribosomal RNA (510 nucleotides) under uncultured bacterium. RNAcentral's name for it is "partial 16S ribosomal RNA". It matches the Rfam family "Bacterial small subunit ribosomal RNA", at positions 28 to 507 of the family's 1533-position model. The record is from RNAcentral.